AGACAACAGGGAUUGCCCUAGUAACGGCGAGUGAAGCGGCAACAGCUCAAAUUUGAAAUCUGGCUUCGGCCCGAGUUGUAAUUUGCAGAGGAUGUUUAUGGUGCGGUACCUUCCGAGUUCCCUGGAACGGGACGCCACAGAGGGUGAGAGCCCCGUCUGGUUGGAUACCAAACCUGUGUUAAACUCCUUCAACGAGUCGAGUAGUUUGGGAAUGCUGCUCUAAAUGGGAGGUAAAUCUCUUCUAAAGCUAAAUACCGGCCGGAGACCGAUAGCGCACAAGUAGAGUGAUCGAAAGAUGAAAAGCACCUUGAAAAGGGGGUUAAACAGUACGUGAAAUUGUUAAAAGGGAAGCGUUUAUGACCAGACUUGUGUCGUGUGGCUCAUCCGAGGUUCUCCCCGGUGCACUCCACACGGCUCAGGCCAACAUCGGUUCUCGUUGGGGGAUAGAACAGUAGGAACGUGGCCCUCUUCGGAGGGUGUUAUAGCCUGCUGUACGAUACCCUGAUGGGGACCGAGGACCGCGCUUCGGCUAGGAUGUUGGCGUAAUGGUCAUUAGCGACCCGUCUUGAAACACGGACCAAGGAGUCGUCCAUUAGAGCGAGCGUUUGGGUGUAAAACCCGCACGCGUAAUGAAAGUGAAAUUAGGUGAGAGCUUCGGCGCAUCAUCGACCGAUCCUGAAGUUUACGGAUGGAUUUGAGUAAGAGUUUUAACGGACGGACCCGAAAGACAGUGAACUAUGCUUGAAUAGGGUGAAGCCAGAGGAAACUCUGGUGGAGGCUCGCAGCGGUUCUGACGUGCAAAUCGAUCGUCAAAUUUGAGCAUGGGGGCGAAAGACUAAUCGAACUGUCUAGUAGCUGGUUACCGCCGAAGUUCCCCC
Molecule: ribosomal RNA, 878 nt
Filed under: Gnomoniopsis smithogilvyi
Lineage: Eukaryota; Fungi; Ascomycota; Sordariomycetes; Diaporthales; Gnomoniaceae
Description: LSU rRNA
Rfam family: Eukaryotic large subunit ribosomal RNA
Source: RNAcentral